Molecule: ribosomal RNA, 699 nt
Filed under: uncultured Phenylobacterium sp.
Lineage: Bacteria; Pseudomonadati; Pseudomonadota; Alphaproteobacteria; Caulobacterales; Caulobacteraceae
Description: bacterial SSU rRNA
Rfam family: Bacterial small subunit ribosomal RNA
Source: RNAcentral
AGCGGCGGACGGGUGAGUAACGCGUGGGAACGUGCCCUAUGGUGCGGAACAACUGAGGGAAACUUCAGCUAAUACCGCAUGAGCGCUACGGCGGAAAGAUUUAUCGCCAUAGGAGCGGCCCGCGUUGGAUUAGCUAGUUGGUGGGGUAAUGGCUCACCAAGGCUACGAUCCAUAGCUGGUCUGAGAGGAUGAUCAGCCACACUGGGACUGAGACACGGCCCAGACCCCUACGGGAGGCAGCAGUAGGGAAUCUUGCGCAAUGGGCGAAAGCCUGACGCAGCCAUGCCGCGUGAAUGAUGAAGGUCUUAGGAUUGUAAAAUUCUUUCACCGGGGACGAUAAUGACGGUACCCGGAGAAGAAGCUCCGGCUAACUUCGUGCCAGCAGCCGCGGUAAUACGAAGGGGGCUAGCGUUGCUCGGAAUUACUGGGCGUAAAGGGCGCGUAGGCGGACAGUUUAGUCAGAGGUGAAAGCCCAGGGCUCAACCUUGGAAUAGCCUUUGAUACUGGCUGUCUUGAGUGCGGGAGAGGUGUGUGGAACUCCGAGUGUAGAGGUGAAAUUCGUAGAUAUUCGGAAGAACACCAGUGGCGAAGGCGACACACUGGCCCGUUACUGACGCUGAGGCGCGAAAGCGUGGGGAGCAAACAGGAUUAGAUACCCUGGUAGUCCACGCUGUAAACGAUGAGUGCUAGUUGUCGGCA